RNAcentral lists this long non-coding RNA (277 nucleotides) under Lathyrus oleraceus (garden pea). RNAcentral's name for it is "Pisum sativum (pea) long non-coding RNA (PSAT_LNC042232)". Lineage: Eukaryota; Viridiplantae; Streptophyta; Magnoliopsida; Fabales; Fabaceae. The record is from RNAcentral.
AUCAGACAGAAAAAUAAAAGUGAAGGAAUAAAAAUCUAGGGUCUAACGUAAGGUUAGAUCUAGUAAAAGAUACACAAUAGUUUCCGGUGUAGAAACUAUUGUGCGAAAAAGAAUUAAUUAAAUGCUGGAAGCUUAAUUGGAAAGGAAAAUAAAAAUAAAAAUAAAAACUGCAAUUAAAAGCAAAAAAACAGUAAAGAAAAAUAAUGGUAUGCUGGCACGGCUGGAAGAAGAAAAUUGAACGAAGUCGGAGAGCUUCUGCAGGGUUUGCAAAGCCAAU